GACGAACGCUGGCGGCGCGCUUAACACAUGCAAGUCGAGCGAGAACCAGGGCUUCGGCCCUGGGGACAGCGGCGAACGGGUGAGUAACACGUGGGUAAUCUGCCCUUGACAUCGGGAUAGCCCGGGGAAACCCGGAUUAAUACCGAAUAGCCUCCGGAGCCUUCGGGCGCCGGAGAAAAGGUAGCUUCGGCCUCUGGUCAAGGAUGAGCCCGCGGCGGAUUAGCUUGUUGGCGGGGUAACGGCCCACCAAGGCAACGAUCCGUAGCUGGUCUGAGAGGACGAUCAGCCACACUGGGACUGAGACACGGCCCAGACUCCUACGGGAGGCAGCAGUGGGGAAUCUUGCGCAAAUGCGGGAAACCGUGACGCAGCGACGCCGCGGUGGGGAAGAAGGCC
Molecule: ribosomal RNA, 396 nt
Filed under: uncultured bacterium
Lineage: Bacteria
Description: bacterial SSU rRNA
Rfam family: Bacterial small subunit ribosomal RNA
Source: RNAcentral